RNAcentral lists this ribosomal RNA (497 nucleotides) under uncultured bacterium. RNAcentral describes it as "partial 16S ribosomal RNA". It matches the Rfam family "Bacterial small subunit ribosomal RNA", at positions 28 to 507 of the family's 1533-position model. The record is from RNAcentral.
GAUGAACGCUGGCGGCGUGCCUAAUACAUGCAAGUCGAGCGAACAGACGAGGAGCUUGCUCCUCUGACGUUAGCGGCGGACGGGUGAGUAACACGUGGAUAACCUACCUAUAAGACUGGGAUAACUUCGGGAAACCGGAGCUAAUACCGGAUAAUAUAUUGAACCGCAUGGUUCAAUAGUUAAAGACGGUUUUGCUGUCACUUAUAGAUGGAUCCGCGCCGCACUAGCUAGUUGGUAAGGUAACGGCUUACCAAGGCAACGAUGCGUAGCCGACCUGAGAGGGUGAGCGGCCACACUGGAACUGAGACACGGUCCAGACUCCUACGGGAGGCAGAAGUAGGGAAUCUUCCGCAAUGGGAGAAAGCUUGACGGAGCAACGCCGCGUGAGUGAUGAAGGUCUUCGGAUCGUAAAACUCUGUUAUUAGGGAAGAACAAAUGUGUAAGUAACUAUGCACGUCUUGACGGUACCUAAUCAGAAAGCCACGGCUAACUACGUG